Molecule: long non-coding RNA, 29249 nt
Filed under: Xyrichtys novacula (pearly razorfish)
Lineage: Eukaryota; Metazoa; Chordata; Actinopteri; Labriformes; Labridae
Source: RNAcentral
GGAGUUGGGGUUAGGGUUAGGGUUGGAGCUAGGGUUAGGGUUAGGGUUGGGGUUGGAGUUAGGGUUAGUGUUGGAGCUAGGGUUAGGGUUGGGCUUGGAGCUAGGAUUUUUCUGAGUGCAAUGAACCAACUCCCGAGUCUCUAGGACGUUCCUAAAAAAAUUUGAUUUUUUCCCAUAGGAAUGCAUGGGUUAGGGUUAGGGUUAGGGUUGGAGCUAGGGUUAGGGUUAGGGUUAGGGUUGGAGUUAGGGUUAGUGUUGGAGCUAGGGUUAGGGUUGGGCUUGGAGCUAGGAUUUUUCUGAGUGCACUGAACCAACUCCCGAGUCUCUAGGACGUUCCUAAAAAAAUUUGAUUUUUUUCCCAUAGGAAUGCAUGGGUUAGGGUUAUGGUUAGGGUUGGAGCUAGGGUUAGGGUUAGGGUUAGGGUUGGAGUUAGGGUUAGUGUUGGAGCUAGGGUUAGGGUUGGGCUUGGAGCUAGGAUUUUUCUGAGUGCACUGAACCAACUCCCGAGUCUCUAGGACGUUCCUAAAAAAAUUUGAUUUUUUCCCAUAGGAAUGCAUGGGUUAGGGUUAGGGUUAGGGUUGGAGCUAGGGUUAGGGUUAGGGUUAGGGUUGGAGUUAGGGUUAGUGUUGGAGCUAGGGUUAGGGUUGGGCUUGGAGCUAGGAUUUUUCUGAGUGCACUGAACCAACUCCCGAGUCUCUAGGACGUUCCUAAAAAAAAAUUUGAUUUUUUCCCAUAGGAAAUGCAUGGGUUAGGGUUAGGGUUAGGGUUGGAGCUAGGGUUAGGGUUAGGGUUAGGGUUGGAGUUAGGGUUAGUGUUGGAGCUAGGGUUAGGGUUGGGCUUGGAGCUAGGAUUUUUCUGAGUGCACUGAACCAACUCCCGAGUCUCUAGGACAUUCCUAAAAAAAUUUGAUUUUUUCCCAUAGGAAUGCAUGGGUUAGGGUUAUGGUUGGGGUUAGGGUUGGAGCUAGGGUUAGGGUUAGGGUUAGGGUUGGAGUUAGGGUUAGUGUUGGAGCUAGGGUUAGGGUUGGGCUUGGAGCUAGGAUUUUUCUGAGUGCACUGAACCAACUCCCGAGUCUCUAGGACAUUCCUAAAAAAAAUUGAUUUUUUCCCAUAGGAAUGCAUGGGUUAGGGUUAUGGUUAGGGUUAGGGUUGGAGCUAGGGUUAGGGUUAGGGUUAGGGUUGGAGUUAGGGUUAGUGUUGGAGCUAGGGUUAGGGUUGGGCUUGGAGCUAGGAUUUUUCUGAGUGCACUGAACCAACUCCCGAGUCUCUAGGACAUUCCUAAAAAAAUUUGAUUUUUCCCAUAGGAAUGCAUGGGUUAGGGUUAGGGUUAGGGUUGGAGCUAGGGUUAGGGUUAGGGUUAGGGUUGGAGUUAGGGUUAGUGUUGGAGCUAGGGUUAGGGUUGGGCUUGGAGCUAGGAUUUUUCUGAGUGCACUGAACCAACUCCCGAGUCUCUAGGACAUUCCUAAAAAAAUUUGAUUUUUUCCCAUAGGAAUGCAUGGGUUAGGGUUAGGGUUAGGGUUGGAGCUAGGGUUAGGGUUAGGGUUAGGGUUGGAGUUAGGGUUAGUGUUGGAGCUAGGGUUAGGGUUGGGCUUGGAGCUAGGAUUUUUCUGAGUGCACUGAACCAACUCCCGAGUCUCUAGGACAUUCCUAAAAAAAUUUGAUUUUUCCCAUAGGAAUGCAUGGGUUAGGGUUAUGGUUAGUUAGGGUUGGAGCUAGGGUUAGGGUUAGGGUUAGGGUUGGAGUUAGGGUUAGUGUUGGAGCUAGGGUUAGGGUUGGGCUUGGAGCUAGGAUUUUUCUGAGUGCAAUGAACCAACUCCCGAGUCUCUAGGACGUUCCUAAAAAAAUUUGAUUUUUUUCCCAUAGGAAUGCAUGGGUUAGGGUUAGGGUUAGGGUUAGGGUUGGAGCUAGGGUUAGGGUUAGGGUUAGGGUUGGAGUUAGGGUUAGUGUUGGAGCUAGGGUUAGGGUUGGGCUUGGAGCUAGGAUUUUUCUGAGUGCAAUGAACCAACUCCCGAGUCUCUAGGACGUUCCUAAAAAAAUUUGAUUUUUUCCCAUAGGAAUGCAUGGGUUAGGGUUAUGGUUAGGGUUAGGGUUGGAGCUAGGGUUAGGGUUAGGGUUAGGGUUGGAGUUAGGGUUAGUGUUGGAGCUAGGGUUAGGGUUGGGCUUGGAGCUAGGAUUUUCUGAGUGCAAUGAACCAACUCCCGAGUCUCUAGGACGUUCCUAAAAAAAUUUGAUUUUUUCCCAUAGGAAUGCAUGGGUUAGGGUUAGGGUUAGGGUUGGAGCUAGGGUUAGGGUUAGGGUUAGGGUUGGAGUUAGGGUUAGUGUUGGAGCUAGGGUUAGGGUUGGGCUUGGAGCUAGGAUUUUUCUGAGUGCAAUGAACCAACUCCCGAGUCUCUAGGACGUUCCUAAAAAAUUUGAUUUUUUCCCAUAGGAAUGCAUGGGUUAGGGUUAGGGUUAGGGUUAGGGUUGGAGCUAGGGUUAGGGUUAGGGUUAGGGUUGGAGUUAGGGUUAGUGUUGGAGCUAGGGUUAGGGUUGGGCUUGGAGCUAGGAUUUUCUGAGUGCACUGAACCAACUCCCGAGUCUCUAGGACAUUCCUAAAAAAAUUUGAUUUUUUCCCAUAGGAAUGCAUGGGUUAGGGUUAGGGUUAGGGUUAGGGUUGGAGCUAGGGUUAGGGUUAGGGUUAGGGUUGGAGUUAGGGUUAGUGUUGGAGCUAGGGUUAGGGUUGGGCUUGGAGCUAGGAUUUUUCUGAGUGCACUGAACCAACUCCCGAGUCUCUAGGACAUUCCUAAAAAAAUUUGAUUUUUCCCAUAGGAAUGCAUGGGUUAGGGUUAGGGUUAGGGUUGGAGCUAGGGUUAGGGUUAGGGUUGGAGUUAGGGUUAGUGUUGGAGCUAGGGUUAGGGUUGGGCUUGGAGCUAGGAUUUUUCUGAGUGCAAUGAACCAACUCCCGAGUCUCUAGGACGUUCCUAAAAAAUUUGAUUUUUUCCCAUAGGAAUGCAUGGGUUAGGGUUAGGGUUAGGGUUGGAGCUAGGGUUAGGGUUAGGGUUAGGGUUGGAGUUAGGGUUAGUGUUGGAGCUAGGGUUAGGGUUGGGCUUGGAGCUAGGAUUUUUCUGAGUGCACUGAACCAACUCCCGAGUCUCUAGGACGUUCCUAAAAAAAUUUGAUUUUUUCCCAUAGGAAUGCAUGGGUUAGGGUUAGGGUUAGGGUUAGGGUUGGAGCUAGGGUUAGGGUUAGGGUUAGGGUUGGAGUUAGGGUUAGUGUUGGAGCUAGGGUUAGGGUUGGGCUUGGAGCUAGGAUUUUUCUGAGUGCACUGAACCAACUCCCGAGUCUCUCUAGGAGGCGUUCCUAAAAAAUUUGAUUUUUUCCCAUAGGAAUGCAUGGGUUAGGGUUAGGGUUAGGGUUAGGGUUGGAGCUAGGGUUAGGGUUAGGGUUAGGGUUGGAGUUAGGGUUAGUGUUGGAGCUAGGGUUAGGGUUGGGCUUGGAGCUAGGAUUUUUCUGAGUGCAAUGAACCAACUCCCGAGUCUCUUGGACGUUCCUAAAAAAAUUUGAUUUUUUUCCCAUAGGAAUGCAUGGGUUAGGGUUAGGGUUAGGGUUGGAGCUAGGGUUAGGGUUAGGGUUAGGGUUGGAGUUAGGGUUAGUGUUGGAGCUAGGGUUAGGGUUGGGCUUGGAGCUAGGAUUUUUCUGAGUGCACUGAACCAACUCCCGAGUCUCUAGGACAUUCCUAAAAAAAUUUGAUUUUUUCCCAUAGGAAUGCAUGGGUUAGGGUUAGGGUUAGGGUUGGAGCUAGGGUUAGGGUUAGGGUUAGGGUUGGAGUUAGGGUUAGUGUUGGAGCUAGGGUUAGGGUUGGGCUUGGAGCUAGGAUUUUUCUGAGUGCACUGAACCAACUCCCGAGUCUCUAGGACAUUCCUAAAAAAAUUUGAUUUUUUCCCAUAGGAAUGCAUGGGUUAGGGUUAUGGUUAGGGUUAGGGUUGGAGCUAGGGUUAGGGUUAGGGUUAGGGUUGGAGUUAGGGUUAGUGUUGGAGCUAGGGUUAGGGUUGGGCUUGGAGCUAGGAUUUUUCUGAGUGCACUGAACCAACUCCCGAGUCUCUAGGACGUUCCUAAAAAAUUUGAUUUUUUCCCAUAGGAAUGCAUGGGUUAGGGUUAUGGUUAGGGUUAGGGUUGGAGCUAGGGUUAGGGUUAGGGUUAGGGUUGGAGUUAGGGUUAGUGUUGGAGCUAGGGUUAGGGUUGGGCUUGGAGCUAGGAUUUUUCUGAGUGCACUGAACCAACUCCCGAGUCUCUAGGACAUUCCUAAAAAAAUUUGAUUUUUUUCCCAUAGGAAUGCAUGGGUUAGGGUUAGGGUUAGGGUUGGAGCUAGGGUUAGGGUUAGGGUUAGGGUUGGAGUUAGGGUUAGUGUUGGAGCUAGGGUUAGGGUUGGGCUUGGAGCUAGGAUUUUUCUGAGUGCACUGAACCAACUCCCGAGUCUCUAGGACAUUCCUAAAAAAAAAUUUGAUUUUUUCCCAUAGGAAUGCAUGGGUUAGGGUUAUGGUUAGGGUUAGGGUUGGAGCUAGGGUUAGGGUUAGGGUUAGGGUUGGAGUUAGGGUUAGUGUUGGAGCUAGGGUUAGGGUUGGGCUUGGAGCUAGGAUUUUUCUGAGUGCACUGAACCAACUCCCGAGUCUCUAGGACAUUCCUAAAAAAAAAUUGAUUUUUUCCCAUAGGAAUGCAUGGGUUAGGGUUAUGGUUAGGGUUAGGGUUGGAGCUAGGGUUAGGGUUAGGGUUAGGGUUGGAGUUAGGGUUAGUGUUGGAGCUAGGGUUAGGGUUGGGCUUGGAGCUAGGAUUUUUCUGAGUGCAAUGAACCAACUCCCGAGUCUCUAGGACAUUCCUAAAAAAAUUUGAUUUUUUCCCAUAGGAAUGCAUGGGUUAGGGUUAGGGUUAGGGUUGGAGCUAGGGUUAGGGUUAGGGUUGGGUUGGAGUUAGGGUUAGUGUUGGAGCUAGGGUUAGGGUUGGGCUUGGAGCUAGGAUUUUUCUGAGUGCAAUGAACCAACUCCCGAGUCUCUAGGACAUUCCUAAAAAAAUUUGAUUUUUUCCCAUAGGAAUGCAUGGGUUAGGGUUAGGGUUAGGGUUGGAGCUAGGGUUAGGGUUAGGGUUAGGGUUGGAGUUAGGGUUAGUGUUGGAGCUAGGGUUAGGGUUGGGCUUGGAGCUAGGAUUUUUCUGAGUGCAAUGAACCAACUCCCGAGUCUCUAGGACAUUCCUAAAAAAAAAUUUGAUUUUUUCCCAUAGGAAUGCAUGGGUUAGGGUUAUGGUUAGGGUUAGGGUUGGAGCUAGGGUUAGGGUUAGGGUUAGGGUUGGAGUUAGGGUUAGUGUUGGAGCUAGGGUUAGGGUUGGGCUUGGAGCUAGGAUUUUUCUGAGUGCAAUGAACCAACUCCCGAGUCUCUAGGACGUUCUAAAAAAAAUUUGAUUUUUUCCCAUAGGAAUGCAUGGGUUAGGGUUAUGGUUAGGGUUAGGGUUGGAGCUAGGGUUAGGGUUAGGGUUAGGGUUGGAGUUAGGGUUAGUGUUGGAGCUAGGGUUAGGGUUGGGCUUGGAGCUAGGAUUUUUCUGAGUGCAAUGAACCAACUCCCGAGUCUCUAGGACGUUCCUAAAAAAAUUUGAUUUUUUCCCAUAGGAAUGCAUGGGUUAGGGUUAGGGUUAGGGUUGGAGCUAGGGUUAGGGUUAGGGUUAGGGUUGGAGUUAGGGUUAGUGUUGGAGCUAGGGUUAGGGUUGGGCUUGGAGCUAGGAUUUUUCUGAGUGCAAUGAACCAACUCCCGAGUCUCUAGGACGUUCCUAAAAAAAAAUUUGAUUUUUUCCCAUAGGAAUGCAUGGGUUAGGGUUAGGGUUAGGGUUGGAGCUAGGGUUAGGGUUAGGGUUAGGGUUGGAGUUAGGGUUAGUGUUGGAGCCAGGGUUAGGGUUGGGCUUGGAGCUAGGAUUUUUCUGAGUGCACUGAACCAACUCCCGAGUCUCUAGGACAUUCCUAAAAAAUUUGAUUUUUUUCCCAUAGGAAUGCAUGGGUUAGGGUUAGUGGUUAGGGUUAGGGUUGGAGCUAGGGUUAGGGUUAGGGUUAGGGUUGGAGUUAGGGUUAGUGUUGGAGCUAGGGUUAGGGUUGGGCUUGGAGCUAGGAUUUUUCUGAGUGCAAUGAACCAACCCCCGAGUCUCUAGGACGUUCCUAAAAAAAUUUGAUUUUUUCCCUAUAGGAAUGCAUGGGUUAGGGUUAGGGUUAGGGUUGGAGCUAGGGUUAGGGUUAGGGUUAGGGUUGGAGUUAGGGUUAGUGUUGGAGCUAGGGUUAGGGUUGGGCUUGGAGCUAGGAUUUUUCUGAGUGCAAUGAACCAACUCCCGAGUCUCUAGGACGUUCCUAAAAAAAUUUGAUUUUUUCCCAUAGGAAUGCAUGGGUUAGGGUUAGGGUUAGGGUUGGAGCUAGGGUUAGGGUUAGGGUUAGGGUUGGAGUUAGGGUUAGUGUUGGAGCUAGGGUUAGGGUUGGGCUUGGAGCUAGGUUUUUCUGAGGGUGCACUGAACCAACUCCCGAGUCUCUAGGACAUUCCUAAAAAAAUUUGAUUUUUUCCCAUAGGAAUGCAUGGGUUAGGGUUAUGGUUAGGGUUGGAGCUAGGGUUAGGGUUAGGGUUAGGGUUGGAGUUAGGGUUAGUGUUGGAGCUAGGGUUAGGGUUGGGCUUGGAGCUAGGAUUUUUCUGAGUGCACUGAACCAACUCCCGAGUCUCUAGGACAUUCCUAAAAAAAUUUGAUUUUUUCCCAUAGGAAUGCAUGGGUUAGGGUUAGGGUUAGGGUUGGAGCUAGGGUUAGGGUUAGGGUUAGGGUUGGAGUUAGGGUUAGUGUUGGAGCUAGGGUUAGGGUUGGGCUUGGAGCUAGGAUUUUUCUGAGUGCACUGAACCAACUCCCGAGUCUCUAGGACAUUCCUAAAAAAAUUUGAUUUUUCCCAUAGGAAUGCAUGGGUUAGGGUUAUGGUUAGGGUUAGGGUUGGAGCUAGGGUUAGGGUUAGGGUUAGGGUUGGAGUUAGGGUUAGUGUUGGAGCUAGGGUUAGGGUUGGGCUUGGAGCUAGGAUUUUUCUGAGUGCACUGAACCAACUCCCGAGUCUCUAGGACAUUCCUAAAAAAAUUUGAUUUUUUUCCCAUAGGAAUGCAUGGGUUAGGGUUAGGGUUAUGGUUAGGGUUAGGGUUAGGGUUAGGGUUAGGGUUGGAGUUAGGGUUAGUGUUGGAGCUAGGGUUAGGGUUGGGCUUGGAGCUAGGAUUUUUCUGAGUGCACUGAACCAACUCCCGGGUCUCUAGGACAUUCCUAAAAAAAUUUGAUUUUUUCCCAUAGGAAUGCAUGGGUUAGGGUUAGGGUUAGGGUUGGAGCUAGGGUUAGGGUUAGGGUUAGGGUUGGAGUUAGGGUUAGUGUUGGAGCUAGGGUUAGGGUUGGGCUUGGAGCUAGGAUUUUUCUGAGUGCAAUGAACCAACUCCCGAGUCUCUAGGACAUUCCUAAAAAAAUUUGAUUUUUUCCCAUAGGAAUGCAUGGGUUAGGGUUAGGGUUAGGGUUGGAGCUAGGGUUAGGGUUAGGGUUAGGGUUGGAGUUAGGGUUAGUGUUGGAGCUAGGGUUAGGGUUGGGCUUGGAGCUAGGAUUUUUCUGAGUGCACUGAACCAACUCCCGAGUCUCUAGGACAUUCCUAAAAAAAUUUGAUUUUUUUCCCAUAGGAAUGCAUGGGUUAGGGUUAUGGUUAGGGUUAGGGUUGGAGCUAGGGUUAGGGUUAGGGUUAGGGUUGGAGUUAGGGUUAGUGUUGGAGCUAGGGUUAGGGUUGGGCUUGGAGCUAGGAUUUUUCUGAGUGCAAUGAACCAACCCCCGAGUCUCUAGGACGUUCCUAAAAAAAUUUGAUUUUUUCCCAUAGGAAUGCAUGGGUUAGGGUUAUGGUUAGGGUUGGAGCUAGGGUUAGGGUUAGGGUUAGGGUUGGAGUUAGGGUUAGUGUUGGAGCUAGGGUUAGGGUUGGGCUUGGAGCUAGGAUUUUUCUGAGUGCAAUGAACCAACUCCCGAGUCUCUAGGACGUUCCUAAAAAAUUUGAUUUUUUCCCAUAGGAAUGCAUGGGUUAGGGUUAGGGUUAGGGUUGGAGCUAGGGUUAGGGUUAGGGUUAGGGUUGGAGUUAGGGUUAGUGUUGGAGCUAGGGUUAGGGUUGGGCUUGGAGCUAGGAUUUUUCUGAGUGCACUGAACCAACUCCCGAGUCUCUAGGACGUUCCUAAAAAAAUUUGAUUUUUUCCCAUAGGAAUGCAUGGGUUAGGGUUAUGGUUAGGGUUAGGGUUAGGGUUGGAGUUAGGGUUAGUGUUGGAGCUAGGGUUAGGGUUGGGCUUGGAGCUAGGAUUUUUCUGAGUGCACUGAACCAACUCCCGAGUCUCUAGGACAUUCCUAAAAAAAUUUGAUUUUUUCCCAUAGGAAUGCAUGGGUUAGGGUUAGGGUUAGGGUUGGAGCUAGGGUUAGGGUUAGGGUUAGGGUUGGAGUUAGGGUUAGUGUUGGAGCUAGGGUUAGGGUUGGGCUUGGAGCUAGGAUUUUUCUGAGUGCACUGAACCAACUCCCGAGUCUCUAGGACAUUCCUAAAAAAAUUUGAUUUUUUCCUAUAGGAAUGCAUGGGUUAGGGUUAUGGUUAGGGUUAGGGUUGGAGCUAGGGUUAGGGUUAGGGUUAGGGUUGGAGUUAGGGUUAGUGUUGGAGCUAGGGUUAGGGUUGGGCUUGGAGCUAGGAUUUUUCUGAGUGCACUGAACCAACUCCCGAGUCUCUAGGACAUUCCUAAAAAAAUUUGAUUUUUUCCCAUAGGAAUGCAUGGGUUAGGGUUAGGGUUAGGGUUGGAGCUAGGGUUAGGGUUAGGGUUAGGGUUGGAGUUAGGGUUAGUGUUGGAGCUAGGGUUAGGGUUGGGCUUGGAGCUAGGAUUUUUCUGAGUGCACUGAACCAACUCCCGAGUCUCUAGGACAUUCCUAAAAAAAUUUGAUUUUUUCCUAUAGGAAUGCAUGGGUUAGGGUUAUGGUUAGGGUUAGGGUUGGAGCUAGGGUUAGGGUUAGGGUUAGGGUUGGAGUUAGGGUUAGUGUUGGAGCUAGGGUUAGGGUUGGGCUUGGAGCUAGGAUUUUUCUGAGUGCACUGAACCAACUCCCGAGUCUCUAGGACAUUCCUAAAAAAAUUUGAUUUUUUCCCAUAGGAAUGCAUGGGUUAGGGUUAUGGUUAGGGUAAGGGUUGGAGCUAGGGUUAGGGUUAGGGUUAGGGUUGGAGUUAGGGUUAGUGUUGGAGCUAGGGUUAGGGUUGGGCUUGGAGCUAGGAUUUUUCUGAGUGCAAUGAACCAACUCCCGAGUCUCUAGGACGUUCCUAAAAAAAUUUGAUUUUUUCCCAUAGGAAUGCAUGGGUUAGGGUUAGGGUUAGGGUUGGAGCUAGUGUUAGGGUUAGGGAUAGGGUUGGAGUUAAGGUUAGUGUUGGAGCUAGGGUUAGGGUUGGGCUUGGAGCUAGGAUUUUUCUGAGUGCACUGAACCAACUCCCGAGUCUCUAGGACGUUCCUAAAAAAAUUUGAUUUUUUCCCAUAGGAAUGCAUGGGUUAGGGUUAUGGUUAGGGUUGGAGCUAGGGUUAGGGUUAGGGUUAGGGUUGGAGUUAGGGUUAGUGUUGGAGCUAGGGUUAGGGUUGGGCUUGGAGCUAGGAUUUUUCUGAGUGCAAUGAACCAACUCCCGAGUCUCUAGGACGUUCCUAAAAAAAUUUGAUUUUUUCCCAUAGGAAUGCAUGGGUUAGGGUUAGGGUUAGGGUUGGAGCUAGGGUUAGGGUUAGGGUUAGGGUUGGAGUUAGGGUUAGUGUUGGAGCUAGGGUUAGGGUUGGGCUUGGAGCUAGGAUUUUUCUGAGUGCACUGAACCAACUCCCGAGUCUCUAGGACGUUCCUAAAAAAAUUUGAUUUUUUCCCAUAGGAAUGCAUGGGUUAGGGUUAGGGUUAGGGUUAGGGUUGGAGCUAGGGUUAGGGUUAGGGUUAGGGUUGGAGUUAGGGUUGGGCUUGGAGCUAGGGUUAGGGUUGGGCUUGGAGCUAGGAUUUUUCUGAGUGCAAUGAACCAACCCCGAGUCUCUAGGACGUUCCUAAAAAAUCUGAUUUUUUCCCAUAGGAAUGCAUGGGUUAGGGUUAUGGUUAGGGUUAGGGUUGGAGCUAGGGUUAGGGUUAGGGUUAGGGUUGGAGUUAGGGUUAGUGUUGGAGCUAGGGUUAGGCUUGGGCUUGGAGCUAGGAUUUUUCUGAGUGCAAUGAACCAACUCCCGAGUCUCUAGGACGUUCCUAAAAAAAUUUGAUUUUUUCCCAUAGGAAUGCAUGGGUUAGGGUUAGGGUUAGGGUUGGAGCUAGGGUUAGGGUUAGGGUUAGGGUUGGAGUUAGGGUUAGUGUUGGAGCUAGGGUUAGGGUUGGGCUUGGAGCUAGGAUUUUUCUGAGUGCACUGAACCAACUCCCGAGUCUCUAGGACAUUCCUAAAAAAAUUUGAUUUUUUCCCAUAGGAAUGCAUGGGUUAGGGUUAGGGUUAGGGUUGGAGCUAGGGUUAGGGUUAGGGUUAGGGUUGGAGUUAGGGUUAGUGUUGGAGCUAGGGUUAGGGUUGGGCUUGGAGCUAGGAUUUUUCUGAGUGCACUGAACCAACUCCCGAGUCUCUAGGACAUUCCUAAAAAAUUUGAUUUUUUCCCAUAGGAAUGCAUGGGUUAGGGUUAUGGUUAGGGUUAGGGUUGGAGCUAGGGUUAGGGUUAGGGUUAGGGUUGGAGUUAGGGUUAGUGUUGGAGCUAGGGUUAGGGUUGGGCUUGGAGCUAGGAUUUUUCUGAGUGCAAUGAACCAACUCCCGAGUCUCUUGGACGUUCCUAAAAAAAUUUGAUUUUUUUCCCAUAGGAAUGCAUGGGUUAGGGUUAGGGUUAGGGUUGGAGCUAGGGUUAGGGUUAGGGUUAGGGUUGGAGUUAGGGUUAGUGUUGGAGCUAGGGUUAGGGUUGGGCUUGGAGCUAGGAUUUUUCUGAGUGCACUGAACCAACUCCCGAGUCUCUAGGACAUUCCUAAAAAAAUUUGAUUUUUUCCCAUAGGAAUGCAUGGGUUAGGGUUAGGGUUAGGGUUGGAGCUAGGGUUAGGGUUAGGGUUAGGGUUGGAGUUAGGGUUAGUGUUGGAGCUAGGGUUAGGGUUGGGCUUGGAGCUAGGAUUUUUCUGAGUGCACUGAACCAACUCCCGAGUCUCUAGGACAUUCCUAAAAAAAUUUGAUUUUUUCCCAUAGGAAUGCAUGGGUUAGGGUUAUGGUUAGGGUUAGGGUUGGAGCUAGGGUUAGGGUUAGGGUUAGGGUUGGAGUUAGGGUUAGUGUUGGAGCUAGGGUUAGGGUUGGGCUUGGAGCUAGGAUUUUUCUGAGUGCACUGAACCAACUCCCGAGUCUCUAGGACAUUCCUAAAAAAAUUUGAUUUUUUCCCAUAGGAAUGCAUGGGUUAGGGUUAGGGUUAGGGUUGGAGCUAGGGUUAGGGUUAGGGUUAGGGUUGGAGUUAGGGUUAGUGUUGGAGCUAGGGUUAGGGUUGGGCUUGGAGCUAGGAUUUUUCUGAGUGCACUGAACCAACUCCCGAGUCUCUAGGACAUUCCUAAAAAAAUUUGAUUUUUUCCCAUAGGAAUGCAUGGGUUAGGGUUAUGGUUAGGGUUAGGGUUGGAGCUAGGGUUAGGGUUAGGGUUAGGGUUGGAGUUAGGGUUAGUGUUGGAGCUAGGGUUAGGGUUGGGCUUGGAGCUAGGAUUUUUCUGAGUGCAAUGAACCAACUCCCGAGUCUCUUGGACGUUCCUAAAAAAAUUUGAUUUUUUCCCAUAGGAAUGCAUGGGUUAGGGUUAGGGUUAGGGUUGGAGCUAGGGUUAGGGUUAGGGUUAGGGUUGGAGUUAGGGUUAGUGUUGGAGCUAGGGUUAGGGUUGGGCUUGGAGCUAGGAUUUUUCUGAGUGCACUGAACCAACUCCCGAGUCUCUAGGACAUUCCUAAAAAAAUUUGAUUUUUUCCCAUAGGAAUGCAUGGGUUAGGGUUAGGGUUAGGGUUGGAGCUAGGGUUAGGGUUAGGGUUAGGGUUGGAGUUAGGGUUAGUGUUGGAGCUAGGGUUAGGGUUGGGCUUGGAGCUAGGAUUUUUCUGAGUGCAAUGAACCAACUCCCGAGUCUCUUGGACGUUCCUAAAAAAAUUUGAUUUUUUCCCAUAGGAAUGCAUGGGUUAGGGUUAGGGUUAGGGUUGGAGCUAGGGUUAGGGUUAGGGUUAGGGUUGGAGUUAGGGUUAGUGUUGGAGCUAGGGUAGGGUUGGGCUUGGAGCUAGGAUUUUUCUGAGUGCAAUGAACCAACUCCCGAGUCUCUUGGACGUUCCUAAAAAAAUUUGAUUUUUUCCCAUAGGAAUGCAUGGGUUAGGGUUAGGGUUAGGGUUGGAGCUAGGGUUAGGGUUAGGGUUAGGGUUGGAGUUAGGGUUAGUGUUGGAGCUAGGGUUAGGGUUGGGCUUGGAGCUAGGAUUUUUCUGAGUGCAAUGAACCAACUCCCGGGUCUCUAGGACGUUCCUAAAAAAAUUUGAUUUUUUCCCAUAGGAAUGCAUGGGUAAGGGUUAGGGUUAGGGUUGGAGCUAGGAUUAGGGUUAGGGUUAGGGUUGGAGUUAAGGUUAGUGUUGGAGCUAGGGUUAGGGUUGGGCUUGGAGCUAGGAUUUUUCUGAGUGCAAUGAACCAACUCCCGAGUCUCUAGGACGUUCCUAAAAAAAUUUGAUUUUUUCCCAUAGGAAUGCAUGGGUUAGGGUUAUGGUUAGGGUUAGGGUUGGAGCUAGGGUUAGGGUUAGGGUUAGGGUUGGAGUUAGGGUUAGUGUUGGAGCUAGGGUUAGGGUUGGGCUUGGAGCUAGGAUUUUUCUGAGUGCAAUGAACCAACCCCCGAGUCUCUAGGACGUUCCUAAAAAAUUUGAUUUUUUCCCAUAGGAAUGCAUGGGUUAGGGUUAUGGUUAGGGUUAGGGUUGGAGCUAGGGUUAGGGUUAGGGUUAGGGUUGGAGUUAGGGUUAGUGUUGGAGCUAGGGUUAGGGUUGGGCUUGGAGCUAGGAUUUUUCUGAGUGCAAUGAACCAACUCCCGAGUCUCUAGGACGUUCCUAAAAAAAUUUGAUUUUUUCCCAUAGGAAUGCAUGGGUUAGGGUUAGGGUUAGGGUUGGAGCUAGGGUUAGGGUUAGGGUUAGGGUUGGAGUUAGGGUUAGUGUUGGAGCUAGGGUUAGGGUUGGGCUUGGAGCUAGGAUUUUUCUGAGUGCACUGAACCAACUCCCGAGUCUCUAGGACAUUCCUAAAAAAAUUUGAUUUUUUCCCAUAGGAAUGCAUGGGUUAGGGUUAGGGUUAGGGUUGGAGCUAGGGUUAGGGUUAGGGUUAGGGUUGGAGUUAGGGUUAGUGUUGGAGCUAGGGUUAGGGUUGGGCUUGGAGCUAGGAUUUUUCUGAGUGCACUGAACCAACUCCCGAGUCUCUAGGACAUUCCUAAAAAAAUUUGAUUUUUUCCUAUAGGAAUGCAUGGGUUAGGGUUAUGGUUAGGGUUAGGGUUGGAGCUAGGGUUAGGGUUAGGGUUAGGGUUGGAGUUAGGGUUAGUGUUGGAGCUAGGGUUAGGGUUGGGCUUGGAGCUAGGAUUUUUCUGAGUGCACUGAACCAACUCCCGAGUCUCUAGGACAUUCCUAAAAAAAUUUGAUUUUUUCCCAUAGGAAUGCAUGGGUUAGGGUUAGGGUUAGGGUUGGAGCUAGGGUUAGGGUUAGGGUUAGGGUUGGAGUUAGGGUUAGUGUUGGAGCUAGGGUUAGGGUUGGGCUUGGAGCUAGGAUUUUUCUGAGUGCACUGAACCAACUCCCGAGUCUCUAGGACAUUCCUAAAAAAAUUUGAUUUUUUCCUAUAGGAAUGCAUGGGUUAGGGUUAUGGUUAGGGUUAGGGUUGGAGCUAGGGUUAGGGUUAGGGUUAGGGUUGGAGUUAGGGUUAGUGUUGGAGCUAGGGUUAGGGUUGGGCUUGGAGCUAGGAUUUUUCUGAGUGCACUGAACCAACUCCCGAGUCUCUAGGACAUUCCUAAAAAAAUUUGAUUUUUUCCCAUAGGAAUGCAUGGGUUAGGGUUAUGGUUAGGGUAAGGGUUGGAGCUAGGGUUAGGGUUAGGGUUAGGGUUGGAGUUAGGGUUAGUGUUGGAGCUAGGGUUAGGGUUGGGCUUGGAGCUAGGAUUUUUCUGAGUGCAAUGAACCAACUCCCGAGUCUCUAGGACGUUCCUAAAAAAAUUUGAUUUUUUCCCAUAGGAAUGCAUGGGUUAGGGUUAGGGUUAGGGUUGGAGCUAGUGUUAGGGUUAGGGAUAGGGUUGGAGUUAAGGUUAGUGUUGGAGCUAGGGUUAGGGUUGGGCUUGGAGCUAGGAUUUUUCUGAGUGCAAUGAACCAACUCCCGAGUCUCUAGGACGUUCCUAAAAAAAUUUGAUUUUUUCCCAUAGGAAUGCAUGGGUUAGGGUUAUGGUUAGGGUAAGGGUUGGAGCUAGGGUUAGGGUUAGGGUUAGGGUUGGAGUUAGGGUUAGUGUUGGAGCUAGGGUUAGGGUUGGGCUUGGAGCUAGGAUUUUUCUGAGUGCAAUGAACCAACUCCCGAGUCUCUAGGACGUUCCUAAAAAAAUUUGAUUUUUUCCCAUAGGAAUGCAUGGGUUAGGGUUAGGGUUAGGGUUGGAGCUAGGGUUAGGGUUAGGGAUAGGGUUGGAGUUAAGGUUAGUGUUGGAGCUAGGGUUAGGGUUGGGCUUGGAGCUAGGAUUUUUCUGAGUGCACUGAACCAACUCCCGAGUCUCUAGGACGUUCCUAAAAAAAUUUGAUUUUUUCCCAUAGGAAUGCAUGGGUUAGGGUUAGGGUUAGGGUUAGGGUUGGAGCUAGGGUUAGGGUUAGGGUUAGGGUUGGAGUUAGGGUUGGGCUUGGAGCUAGGGUUAGGGUUGGGCUUGGAGCUAGGAUUUUUCUGAGUGCAAUGAACCAACCCCCGAGUCUCUAGGACGUUCCUAAAAAAAUCUGAUUUUUUCCCAUAGGAAUGCAUGGGUUAGGGUUAUGGUUAGGGUUAGGGUUGGAGCUAGGGUUAGGGUUAGGGUUAGGGUUGGAGUUAGGGUUAGUGUUGGAGCUAGGGUUAGGCUUGGGCUUGGAGCUAGGAUUUUUCUGAGUGCAAUGAACCAACUCCCGAGUCUCUAGGACGUUCCUAAAAAAAUUUGAUUUUUUCCCAUAGGAAUGCAUGGGUUAGGGUUAGGGUUAGGGUUGGAGCUAGGGUUAGGGUUAGGGUUAGGGUUGGAGUUAGGGUUAGUGUUGGAGCUAGGGUUAGGGUUGGGCUUGGAGCUAGGAUUUUUCUGAGUGCACUGAACCAACUCCCGAGUCUCUAGGACAUUCCUAAAAAAAUUUGAUUUUUUCCCAUUGGAAUGCAUGGGUUAGGGUUAGGGUUAGGGUUGGAGCUAGGGUUAGGGUUAGGGUUAGGGUUGGAGUUAGGGUUAGUGUUGGAGCUAGGGUUAGGGUUGGGCUUGGAGCUAGGAUUUUUCUGAGUGCACUGAACCAACUCCCGAGUCUCUAGGACAUUCCUAAAAAAAUUUGAUUUUUUCCCAUAGGAAUGCAUGGGUUAGGGUUAUGGUUAGGGUUAGGGUUGGAGCUAGGGUUAGGGUUAGGGUUAGGGUUGGAGUUAGGGUUAGUGUUGGAGCUAGGGUUAGGGUUGGGCUUGGAGCUAGGAUUUUUCUGAGUGCAAUGAACCAACUCCCGAGUCUCUUGGACGUUCCUAAAAAAAUUUGAUUUUUUCCCAUAGGAAUGCAUGGGUUAGGGUUAGGGUUAGGGUUGGAGCUAGGGUUAGGGUUAGGGUUAGGGUUGGAGUUAGGGUUAGUGUUGGAGCUAGGGUUAGGGUUGGGCUUGGAGCUAGGAUUUUUCUGAGUGCACUGAACCAACUCCCGAGUCUCUAGGACAUUCCUAAAAAAAUUUGAUUUUUUCCCAUAGGAAUGCAUGGGUUAGGGUUAGGGUUAGGGUUGGAGCUAGGGUUAGGGUUAGGGUUAGGGUUGGAGUUAGGGUUAGUGUUGGAGCUAGGGUUAGGGUUGGGCUUGGAGCUAGGAUUUUUCUGAGUGCACUGAACCAACUCCCGAGUCUCUAGGACAUUCCUAAAAAAAUUUGAUUUUUUCCCAUAGGAAUGCAUGGGUUAGGGUUAUGGUUAGGGUUAGGGUUGGAGCUAGGGUUAGGGUUAGGGUUAGGGUUGGAGUUAGGGUUAGUGUUGGAGCUAGGGUUAGGGUUGGGCUUGGAGCUAGGAUUUUUCUGAGUGCACUGAACCAACUCCCGAGUCUCUAGGACAUUCCUAAAAAAAUUUGAUUUUUUCCCAUAGGAAUGCAUGGGUUAGGGUUAGGGUUAGGGUUGGAGCUAGGGUUAGGGUUAGGGUUAGGGUUGGAGUUAGGGUUAGUGUUGGAGCUAGGGUUAGGGUUGGGCUUGGAGCUAGGAUUUUUCUGAGUGCACUGAACCAACUCCCGAGUCUCUAGGACAUUCCUAAAAAAAUUUGAUUUUUUCCCAUAGGAAUGCAUGGGUUAGGGUUAUGGUUAGGGUUAGGGUUGGAGCUAGGGUUAGGGUUAGGGUUAGGGUUGGAGUUAGGGUUAGUGUUGGAGCUAGGGUUAGGGUUGGGCUUGGAGCUAGGAUUUUUCUGAGUGCAAUGAACCAACUCCCGAGUCUCUUGGACGUUCCUAAAAAAAUUUGAUUUUUUCCCAUAGGAAUGCAUGGGUUAGGGUUAGGGUUAGGGUUGGAGCUAGGGUUAGGGUUAGGGUUAGGGUUGGAGUUAGGGUUAGUGUUGGAGCUAGGGUUAGGGUUGGGCUUGGAGCUAGGAUUUUUCUGAGUGCACUGAACCAACUCCCGAGUCUCUAGGACAUUCCUAAAAAAAUUUGAUUUUUUCCCAUAGGAAUGCAUGGGUUAGGGUUAGGGUUAGGGUUGGAGCUAGGGUUAGGGUUAGGGUUAGGGUUGGAGUUAGGGUUAGUGUUGGAGCUAGGGUUAGGGUUGGGCUUGGAGCUAGGAUUUUUCUGAGUGCAAUGAACCAACUCCCGAGUCUCUUGGACGUUCCUAAAAAAAUUUGAUUUUUUCCCAUAGGAAUGCAUGGGUUAGGGUUAGGGUUAGGGUUGGAGCUAGGGUUAGGGUUAGGGUUAGGGUUGGAGUUAGGGUUAGUGUUGGAGCUAGGGAUAGGGUUGGGCUUGGAGCUAGGAUUUUUCUGAGUGCAAUGAACCAACUCCCGAGUCUCUUGGACGUUCCUAAAAAAAUUUGAUUUUUUCCCAUAGGAAUGCAUGGGUUAGGGUUAGGGUUAGGGUUGGAGCUAGGGUUAGGGUUAGGGUUAGGGUUGGAGUUAGGGUUAGUGUUGGAGCUAGGGUUAGGGUUGGGCUUGGAGCUAGGAUUUUUCUGAGUGCAAUGAACCAACUCCCGGGUCUCUAGGACGUUCCUAAAAAAAUUUGAUUUUUUCCCAUAGGAAUGCAUGGGUAAGGGUUAGGGUUAGGGUUGGAGCUAGGAUUAGGGUUAGGGUUAGGGUUGGAGUUAAGGUUAGUGUUGGAGCUAGGGUUAGGGUUGGGCUUGGAGCUAGGAUUUUUCUGAGUGCAAUGAACCAACUCCCGAGUCUCUAGGACGUUCCUAAAAAAAUUUGAUUUUUUCCCAUAGGAAUGCAUGGGUUAGGGUUAUGGUUAGGGUUAGGGUUGGAGCUAGGGUUAGGGUUAGGGUUAGGGUUGGAGUUAGGGUUAGUGUUGGAGCUAGGGUUAGGGUUGGGCUUGGAGCUAGGAUUUUUCUGAGUGCAAUGAACCAACCCCCGAGUCUCUAGGACGUUCCUAAAAAAUUUGAUUUUUUCCCAUAGGAAUGCAUGGGUUAGGGUUAUGGUUAGGGUUAGGGUUGGAGCUAGGGUUAGGGUUAGGGUUAGGGUUGGAGUUAGGGUUAGUGUUGGAGCUAGGGUUAGGGUUGGGCUUGGAGCUAGGAUUUUUCUGAGUGCAAUGAACCAACUCCCGAGUCUCUAGGACGUUCCUAAAAAAUUUGAUUUUUUCCCAUAGGAAUGCAUGGGUUAGGGUUAGGGUUAGGGUUGGAGCUAGGGUUAGGGUUAGGGUUAGGGUUGGAGUUAGGGUUAGUGUUGGAGCUAGGGUUAGGGUUGGGCUUGGAGCUAGGAUUUUUCUUAGUGCAGUGAACCAACUCCCGAGUCUCUAGGACAUUCCUAAAAAAUUUGAUUUUUUCCCAUAGGAAUGCAUGGGUUAGGGUUAGGGUUAGGGUUGGAGCUAGGGUUAGGGUUAGGGUUAGGGUUGGAGUUAGGGUUAGUGUUGGAGCUAGGGUUAGGGUUGGGCUUGGAGCUAGGAUUUUUCUGAGUGCACUGAACCAACUCCCGAGUCUCUAGGACAUUCCUAAAAAAAUUUGAUUUUUUCCCAUAGGAAUGCAUGGGUUAGGGUUAUGGUUAGGGUUAGGGUUGGAGCUAGGGUUAGGGUUAGGGUUAGGGUUGGAGUUAGGGUUAGUGUUGGAGCUAGGGUUAGGGUUGGGCUUGGAGCUAGGAUUUUUCUGAGUGCAAUGAACCAACUCCCGAGUCUCUUGGACGUUCCUAAAAAAAUUUGAUUUUUUCCCAUAGGAAUGCAUGGGUUAGGGUUAGGGUUAGGGUUGGAGCUAGGGUUAGGGUUAGGGUUAGGGUUGGAGUUAGGGUUAGUGUUGGAGCUAGGGUUAGGGUUGGGCUUGGAGCUAGGAUUUUUCUGAGUGCACUGAACCAACUCCCGAGUCUCUAGGACAUUCCUAAAAAAAUUUGAUUUUUUCCCAUAGGAAUGCAUGGGUUAGGGUUAGGGUUAGGGUUGGAGCUAGGGUUAGGGUUAGGGUUAGGGUUGGAGUUAGGGUUAGUGUUGGAGCUAGGGUUAGGGUUGGGCUUGGAGCUAGGAUUUUUCUGAGUGCACUGAACCAACUCCCGAGUCUCUAGGACAUUCCUAAAAAAAUUUGAUUUUUUCCCAUAGGAAUGCAUGGGUUAGGGUUAUGGUUAGGGUUAGGGUUGGAGCUAGGGUUAGGGUUAGGGUUAGGGUUGGAGUUAGGGUUAGUGUUGGAGCUAGGGUUAGGGUUGGGCUUGGAGCUAGGAUUUUUCUGAGUGCAAUGAACCAACUCCCGAGUCUCUUGGACGUUCCUAAAAAAAUGUGAUUUUUUCCCAUAGGAAUGCAUGGGUUAGGGUUAGGGUUAGGGUUGGAGCUAGGGUUAGGGUUAGGGUUAGGGUUGGAGUUAGGGUUAGUGUUGGAGCUAGGGUUAGGGUUGGGCUUGGAGCUAGGAUUUUUCUGAGUGCACUGAACCAACUCCCGAGUCUCUAGGACAUUCCUAAAAAAAUUUGAUUUUUUCCCAUAGGAAUGCAUGGGUUAGGGUUAGGGUUAGGGUUGGAGCUAGGGUUAGGGUUAGGGUUAGGGUUGGAGUUAGGGUUAGUGUUGGAGCUAGGGUUAGGGUUGGGCUUGGAGCUAGGAUUUUUCUGAGUGCACUGAACCAACUCCCGAGUCUCUAGGACAUUCCUAAAAAAAUUUGAUUUUUUCCCAUAGGAAUGCAUGGGUUAGGGUUAUGGUUAGGGUUAGGGUUGGAGCUAGGGUUAGGGUUAGGGUUAGGGUUGGAGUUAGGGUUAGUGUUGGAGCUAGGGUUAGGGUUGGGCUUGGAGCUAGGAUUUUUCUGAGUGCAAUGAACCAACUCCCGAGUCUCUUGGACGUUCCUAAAAAAAUUUGAUUUUUUCCCAUAGGAAUGCAUGGGUUAGGGUUAGGGUUAGGGUUGGAGCUAGGGUUAGGGUUAGGGUUAGGGUUGGAGUUAGGGUUAGUGUUGGAGCUAGGGUUAGGGUUGGGCUUGGAACUAGGAUUUUUCUGAGUGCAAUGAACCAACUCCCGAGUCUCUAGGACGUUCCUAAAAAAAUUUGAUUUUUUCCCAUAGGAAUGCAUGGGUUAGGGUUAGGGUUAGGGUUGGAGCUAGGGUUAGGGUUAGGGUUAGGGUUGGAGUUAAGGUUAGUGUUGGAGCUAGGGUUAGGGUUGGGCUUGGAGCUAGGAUUUUUCUGAGUGCAAUGAACCAACUCCCGAGUCUCUAGGACGUUCCUAAAAAAAUUUGAUUUUUUCCCAUAGGAAUGCAUGGGUUAGGGUUAUGGUUAGGGUUAGGGUUGGAGCUAGGGUUAGGGUAAGGGUUAGGGUUGGAGUUAGGGUUAGUGUUGGAGCUAGGGUUAGGGUUGGGCUUGGAGCUAGGAUUUUUCUGAGUGCAAUGAACCAACCCCCGAGUCUCUAGGACGUUCCUAAAAAAAUUUGAUUUUUUCCCAUAGGAAUGCAUGGGUUAGGGUUAUGGUUAGGGUUAGGGUUGGAGCUAGGGUUAGGGUUAGGGUUGGAGUUAGGGUUAGUGUUGGAGCUAGGGUUAGGGUUGGGCUUGGAGCUAGGAUUUUUCUGAGUGCAAUGAACCAACUCCCGAGUCUCUAGGACAUUCCUAAAAAAAUUUGAUUUUUUUCCCAUAGGAAUGCAUGGGUUAGGGUUAGGGUUAGGGUUGGAGCUAGGGUUAGGGUUAGGGUUAGGGUUGGAGUUAGGGUUAGUGUUGGAGCUAGGGUUAGGGUUGGGCUUGGAGCUAGGAUUUUUCUGAGUGCAAUGAACCAACUCCCGAGUCUCUAGGACGUUCCUAAAAAAAUUUGAUUUUUUCCCAUAGGAAUGCAUGGGUUAGGGUUAGGGUUAGGGUUGGAGCUAGGGUUAGGGUUAGGGUUAGGGUUGGAGUUAGGGUUAGUGUUGGAGCUAGGGUUAGGGUUGGGCUUGGAGCUAGGAUUUUUCUGAGUGCACUGAACCAACUCCUGAGUCUCUAGGACAUUCCUAAAAAAAUUGAUUUUUUCCCAUAGGAAUGCAUGGGUUAGGGUUAGGGUUAGGGUUGGAGCUAGGGUUAGGGUUAGGGUUAGGGUUGGAGUUAGGGUUAGUGUUGGAGCUAGGGUUAGGGUUGGGCUUGGAGCUAGGAUUUUUCUGAGUGCACUGAACCAACUCCCGAGUCUCUAGGACAUUCCUAAAAAAAUUUGAUUUUUUCCCAUAGGAAUGCAUGGGUUAGGGUUAGGGUUAGGGUUGGAGCUAGGGUUAGGGUUAGGGUUAGGGUUGGAGUUAGGGUUAGUGUUGGAGCUAGGGUUAGGGUUGGGCUUGGAGCUAGGAUUUUUCUGGGUGCAAUGAACCAACUCCCGAGUCUCUUGGACGUUCCUAAAAAAUUUGAUUUUUUCCCAUUGCAAUGCAUUUGUUAGGGUUAGGGUUAGGGUUAGGGUUAGGGUUGGAGCUAGGGUUAGGGUUAGGGUUAGGGUUGGAGUUAGGGUUAGUGUUGGAGCUAGGGUUAGGGUUGGGCUUGGAGCUAGGAUUUUUCUGAGUGCAAUGAACCAACUCCCGAGUCUCUAGGACGUUCCUAAAAAAAUUUGAUUUUUUCCCAUAGGAAUGCAUGGGUUAGGGUUAUGGUUAGGGUUAGGGUUGGAGCUAGGGUUAGGGUUAGGGUUAGGGUUGGAGUUAGGGUUAGUGUUGGAGCUAGGGUUAGGGUUGGGCUUGGAGCUAGGAUUUUUCUGAGUGCAAUGAACCAACCCCCGAGUCUCUAGGACGUUCCUAAAAAAAUUUGAUUUUUUCCCAUAGGAAUGCAUGGGUUAGGGUUAUGGUUAGGGUUAGGGUUGGAGCUAGGGUUAGGGUUAGGGUUAGGGUUGGAGUUAGGGUUAGUGUUGGAGCUAGGGUUAGGGUUGGGCUUGGAGCUAGGAUUUUUCUGAGUGCAAUGAACCAACUCCCGAGUCUCUAGGACGUUCCUAAAAAAAUUUGAUUUUUUCCCAUAGGAAUGCAUGGGUUAGGGUUAGGGUUAGGGUUGGAGCUAGGGUUAGGGUUAGGGUUAGGGUUGGAGUUAGGGUUAGUGUUGGAGCUAGGGUUAGGGUUGGGCUUGGAGCUAGGAUUUUUCUGAGUGCAAUGAACCAACUCCCGAAUCUCUAGGACAUUCCUAAAAAAAUUUGAUUUUUUCCCAUAGGAAUGCAUGGGUUAGGGUUAGGGUUAGGGUUGGAGCUAGGGUUAGGGUUAGGGUUAGGGUUGGAGUUAGGGUUAGUGUUGGAGCUAGGGUUAGGGUUGGGCUUGGAGCUAGGAUUUUUCUGAGUGCACUGAACCAACUCCCGAGUCUCUAGGACAUUCCAAAAAAAAUUUGAUUUUUUCCCAUAGGAAUGCAUGGGUUAGGGUUAUGGUUAGGGUUAGGGUUGGAGCUAGGGUUAGGGUUAGGGUUAGGGUUGGAGUUAGGGUUAGUGUUGGAGCUAGGGUUAGGGUUGGGCUUGGAGCUAGGAUUUUUCUGAGUGCAAUGAACCAACUCCCGAGUCUCUUGGACGUUCCUAAAAAAAUUUGAAUUUUUCCAAUAGGAAUGCAUGGGUUAGGGUUAGGGUUAGGGUUGGAGCUAGGGUUAGGGUUAGGGUUAGGGUUGGAGUUAGGGUUAGUGUUGGAGCUAGGGUUAGGGUUGGGCUUGGAGCUAGGAUUUUUCUGAGUGCACUGAACCAACUCCCGAGUCUCUAGGACGUUCCUAAAAAAAUUUGAUUUUUUCCCAUAGGAAUGCAUGGGUUAGGGUUAGGGUUAGGGUUGGAGCUAGGGUUAGGGUUAGGGUUAGGGUUGGAGUUAGGGUUAGUGUUGGAGCUAGGGUUAGGGUUGGGCUUGGAGCUAGGAUUUUUCUGAGUGCACUGAACCAACUCCUGAGUCUCUAGGACAUUCCUAAAAAAAUUGAUUUUUUCCCAUAGGAAUGCAUGGGUUAGGGUUAGGGUUAGGGUUGGAGCUAGGGUUAGGGUUAGGGUUAGGGUUGGAGUUAGGGUUAGUGUUGGAGCUAGGGUUAGGGUUGGGCUUGGAGCUAGGAUUUUUCUGAGUGCACUGAACCAACUCCCGAGUCUCUAGGACAUUCCUAAAAAAAAUUGAUUUUUUCCCAUAGGAAUGCAUGGGUUAGGGUUAGGGUUAGGGUUGGAGCUAGGGUUAGGGUUAGGGUUAGGGUUGGAGUUAGGGUUAGUGUUGGAGCUAGGGUUAGGGUUGGGCUUGGAGCUAGGAUUUUUCUGAGUGCACUGAACCAACUCCCGAGUCUCUAGGACAUUCCUAAAAAAAUUUGAUUUUUUCCCAUAGGAAUGCAUGGGUUAGGGUUAUGGUUAGGGUUAGGGUUAGGGUUGGAGUUAGGGUUAGUGUUGGAGCUAGGGUUAGGGUUGGGCUUGGAGCUAGGAUUUUUCUGAGUGCAAUGAACCAACUCCCGAGUCUCUUGGACGUUCCUAAAAAAAAUUGAUUUUUUCCCAUAGGAAUGCAUGGGUUAGGGUUAGGGUUAGGGUUGGAGCUAGGGUUAGGGUUAGGGUUAGGGUUGGAGUUAGGGUUAGUGUUGGAGCUAGGGUUAGGGUUGGGCUUGGAGCUAGGAUUUUUCUGAGUGCAAUGAACCAACUCCCGAGUCUCUAGGACGUUCCUAAAAAAUUUGAUUUUUUCCCAUAGGAAUGCAUGGGUUAGGGUUAGGGUUAGGGUUGGAGCUAGGGUUAGGGUUAGGGUUAGGGUUCGAGUUAAGGUUAGUGUUGGAGCUAGGGUUAGGGUUGGGCUUGGAGCUAGGAUUUUUCUGAGUGCAAUGAACCAACUCCCGAGUCUCUAGGACGUUCCUAAAAAAAUUUGAUUUUUUCCCAUAGGAAUGCAUGGGUUAGGGUUAUGGUUAGGGUUAGGGUUGGAGCUAGGGUUAGGGUUAGGGUUAGGGUUGGAGUAAGGGUUAGUGUUGGAGCUAGGGUUAGGGUUGGGCUUGGAGCUAGGAUUUUUCUGAGUGCAAUGAACCAACCCCCGAGUCUCUAGGACGUUCCUAAAAAAUUUGAUUUUUUCCCAUAGGAAUGCAUGGAUUAGGGUUAGGGUUAGGGUUGGAGCUAGGGUUAGGGUUAGGGUUAGGGUUGGAGUUAGGGUUAGUGUUGGAGCUAGGGUUAGGGUUGGGCUUGGAGCUAGGAUUUUUCUGAGUGCAAUGAACCAACUCCCGAGUCUCUAGGACGUUCCUAAAAAAAUUUGAUUUUUUCCCAUAGGAAUGCAUGGGUUAGGGUUAGGGUUAGGGUUGGAGCUAGGGUUAGGGUUAGGGUUAGGGUUGGAGUUAGGGUUAGUGUUGGAGCUAGGGUUAGGGUUGGGCUUGGAGCUAGGAUUUUUCUGAGUGCACUGAACCAACUCCCGAGUCUCUAGGACAUUCCUAAAAAAAUUUGAUUUUUUCCCAUAGGAAUGCAUGGGUUAGGGUUAGGGUUAGGGUUGGAGCUAGGGUUAGGGUUAGGGUUAGGGUUGGAGUUAGGGUUAGUGUUGGAGCUAGGGUUAGGGUUGGGCUUGGAGCUAGGAUUUUUCUGAGUGCACUGAACCAACUCCCGAGUCUCUAGGACAUUCCUAAAAAAUUUGAUUUUUUCCCAUAGGAAUGCAUGGGUUAGGGUUAGGGUUAGGGUUGGAGCUAGGGUUAGGGUUAGGGUUAGGGUUGGAGUUAGGGUUAGUGUUGGAGCUAGGGUUAGGGUUGGGCUUGGAGCUAGGAUUUUUCUGAGUGCAAUGAACCAACCCCCGAGUCUCUAGGACGUCCCAAAAAAAAUUUGAUUUUUUCCCAUAGGAAUGCAUGGGUUAGGGUUAUGGUAAGGGUUAGGGUUGGAGCUAGGGUUAGGGUUAGGGUUAGGGUUGGAGUUAGGGUUAGUGUUGGAGCUAGGGUUAGGGUUGGGCUUGGAGCUAGGAUUUUUCUGAGUGCAAUGAACCAACUCCCGAGUCUCUAGGACAUUCCUAAAAAAAUUUGAUUUUUUCCCAUAGGAAUGCAUGGGUUAGGGUUAGGGUUAGGGUUGGAGCUAGGGUUAGGGUUAGGGUUAGGGUUGGAGUUAGGGUUAGUGUUGGAGCUAGGGUUAGGGUUGGGCUUGGAGCUAGGAUUUUUCUGAGUGCAAUGAACCAACUCCCGAGUCUCUUGGACGUUCCUAAAAAAAUUUGAUUUUUUCCCAUAGGAAUGCAUGGGUUAGGGUUAGGGUUAGGGUUGGAGCUAGGGUUAGGGUUAGGGUUAGGGUUGGAGUUAGGGUUAGUGUUGGAGCUAGGGUUAGGGUUGGGCUUGGAGCUAGGAUUUUUCUGAGUGCACUGAACCAACUCCCGAGUCUCUAGGACAUUCCUAAAAAAAUUUGAUUUUUUCCCAUAGGAAUGCAUGGGUUAGGGUUAUGGUUAGGGUUAGGGUUGGAGCUAGGGUUAGGGUUAGGGUUAGGGUUGGAGUUAGGGUUAGUGUUGGAGCUAGGGUUAGGGUUGGGCUUGGAGCUAGGAUUUUUCUGAGUGCAAUGAACCAACUCCCGAGUCUCUUGGACGUUCCUAAAAAAAUUUGAUUUUUUUCCAUAGGAAUGCAUGGGUUAGGGUUAGGGUUAGGGUUGGAGCUAGGGUUAGGGUUAGGGUUAGGGUUGGAGUUAGGGUUAGUGUUGGAGCUAGGGUUAGGGUUGGGCUUGGAGCUAGGAUUUUUCUGAGUGCACUGAACCAACUCCCGAGUCUCUAGGACAUUCCUAAAAAAAUUUGAUUUUUUCCCAUAGGAAUGCAUGGGUUAGGGUUAGGGUUAGGGUUGGAGCUAGGGUUAGGGUUAGGGUUAGGGUUGGAGUUAGGGUUAGUGUUGGAGCUAGGGUUAGGGUUGGGCUUGGAGCUAGGAUUUUUCUGAGUGCACUGAACCAACUCUCGAGUCUCUAGGACAUUCCUAAAAAAAUUUGAUUUUUUCCCAUAGGAAUGCAUGGGUUAGGGUUAGGGUUAGUGUUGGAGCUAGGGUUAGGGUUGGGCUUGGAGCUAGGAUUUUUCUGAGUGCAAUGAACCAACUCCCGAGUCUCUAGGACGUUCCUAAAAAAAUUUGAUUUUUUCCCAUAGGAAUGCAUGGGUUAGGGUUAGGGUUAGGGUUGGAGCUAGGGUUAGGGUUAGGGUUAGGGUUCGAGUUAAGGUUAGUGUUGGAGCUAGGGUUAGGGUUGGGCUUGGAGCUAGGAUUUUUCUGAGUGCAAUGAACCAACUCCCGAGUCUCUAGGACGUUCCUAAAAAAAUUUGAUUUUUUCCCAUAGGAAUGCAUGGGUUAGGGUUAUGGUUAGGGUUAGGGUUGGAGCUAGGGUUAGGGUUAGGGUUAGGGUUGGAGUAAGGGUUAGUGUUGGAGCUAGGGUUAGGGUUGGGCUUGGAGCUAGGAUUUUUCUGAGUGCAAUGAACCAACUCCCGAGUCUCUAGGACGUUCCUAAAAAAAUUUGAUUUUUUCCCAUAGGAAUGCAUGGAUUAGGGUUAGGGUUAGGGUUGGAGCUAGGGUUAGGGUUAGGGUUAGGGUUGGAGUUAGGGUUAGUGUUGGAGCUAGGGUUAGGGUUGGGCUUGGAGCUAGGAUUUUUCUGAGUGCAAUGAACCAACUCCCGAGUCUCUAGGACGUUCCUAAAAAAAUUUGAUUUUUUCCCAUAGGAAUGCAUGGGUUAGGGUUAGGGUUAGGGUUGGAGCUAGGGUUAGGGUUAGGGUUAGGGUUGGAGUUAGGGUUAGUGUUGGAGCUAGGGUUAGGGUUGGGCUUGGAGCUAGGAUUUUUCUGAGUGCACUGAACCAACUCCCGAGUCUCUAGGACAUUCCUAAAAAAAUUUGAUUUUUUCCCAUAGGAAUGCAUGGGUUAGGGUUAGGGUUAGGGUUGGAGCUAGGGUUAGGGUUAGGGUUAGGGUUGGAGUUAGGGUUAGUGUUGGAGCUAGGGUUAGGGUUGGGCUUGGAGCUAGGAUUUUUCUGAGUGCACUGAACCAACUCCCGAGUCUCUAGGACAUUCCUAAAAAAAUUUGAUUUUUUCCCAUAGGAAUGCAUGGGUUAGGGUUAGGGUUAGGGUUGGAGCUAGGGUUAGGGUUAGGGUUAGGGUUGGAGUUAGGGUUAGUGUUGGAGCUAGGGUUAGGGUUGGGCUUGGAGCUAGGAUUUUUCUGAGUGCAAUGAACCAACCCCCGAGUCUCUAGGACGUCCCAAAAAAAAUUUGAUUUUUUCCCAUAGGAAUGCAUGGGUUAGGGUUAUGGUAAGGGUUAGGGUUGGAGCUAGGGUUAGGGUUAGGGUUAGGGUUGGAGUUAGGGUUAGUGUUGGAGCUAGGGUUAGGGUUGGGCUUGGAGCUAGGAUUUUUCUGAGUGCAAUGAACCAACUCCCGAGUCUCUAGGACAUUCCUAAAAAAAUUUGAUUUUUUCCCAUAGGAAUGCAUGGGUUAGGGUUAGGGUUAGGGUUGGAGCUAGGGUUAGGGUUAGGGUUAGGGUUGGAGUUAGGGUUAGUGUUGGAGCUAGGGUUAGGGUUGGGCUUGGAGCUAGGAUUUUUCUGAGUGCAAUGAACCAACUCCCGAGUCUCUUGGACGUUCCUAAAAAAAUUUGAUUUUUUCCCAUAGGAAUGCAUGGGUUAGGGUUAGGGUUAGGGUUGGAGCUAGGGUUAGGGUUAGGGUUAGGGUUGGAGUUAGGGUUAGUGUUGGAGCUAGGGUUAGGGUUGGGCUUGGAGCUAGGAUUUUUCUGAGUGCAAUGAACCAACUCCCGAGUCUCUAGGACGUUCCUAAAAAAAUUUGAUUUUUUCCCAUAGGAAUGCAUGGGUUAGGGUUAGGGUUAGGGUUGGAGCUAGGGUUAGGGUUAGGGUUAGGGUUGGAGUUAAGGUUAGUGUUGGAGCUAGGGUUAGGGUUGGGCUUGGAGCUAGGAUUUUUCUGAGUGCAAUGAACCAACUCCCGAGUCUCUAGGACGUUCCUAAAAAAAUUUGAUUUUUUCCCAUAGGAAUGCAUGGGUUAGGGUUAUGGUUAGGGUUAGGGUUGGAGCUAGGGUUAGGGUUAGGGUUAGGGUUGGAGUUAGGGUUAGUGUUGGAGCUAGGGUUAGGGUUGGGCUUGGAGCUAGGAUUUUUCUGAGUGCAAUGAACCAACCCCCGAGUCUCUAGGACGUUCCUAAAAAAAUUUGAUUUUUUCCCAUAGGAAUGCAUGGGUUAGGGUUAUGGUUAGGGUUAGGGUUGGAGCUAGGGUUAGGGUUAGGGUUAGGGUUGGAGUUAGGGUUAGUGUUGGAGCUAGGGUUAGGGUUGGGCUUGGAGCUAGGAUUUUUCUGAGUGCAAUGAACCAACUCCCGAGUCUCUAGGACGUUCCUAAAAAAAUUUGAUUUUUUCCCAUAGGAAUGCAUGGGUUAGGGUUAGGGUUAGGGUUGGAGCUAGGGUUAGGGUUAGGGUUAGGGUUGGAGUUAGGGUUAGUGUUGGAGCUAGGGUUAGGGUUGGGCUUGGAGCUAGGAUUUUUCUGAGUGCACUGAACCAACUCCCGAGUCUCUAGGACAUUCCUAAAAAAAUUUGAUUUUUUCCCAUAGGAAUGCAUGGGUUAGGGUUAGGGUUAGGGUUGGAGCUAGGGUUAGGGUUAGGGUUAGGGUUGGAGUUAGGGUUAGUGUUGGAGCUAGGGUUAGGGUUGGGCUUGGAGCUAGGAUUUUUCUGAGUGCACUGAACCAACUCCCGAGUCUCUAGGACAUUCCUAAUAAAAUUUGAUUUUUUCCAAUAGGAAUGCAUGGGUUAGGGUUAGGGUUAGGGUUGGAGCUAGGGUUAGGGUUAGGGUUAGGGUUGGAGUUAGGGUUAGUGUUGGAGCUAGGGUUAGGGUUGGGCUUGGAGCUAGGAUUUUUCUGAGUGCACUGAACCAACUCCCGAGUCUCUAGGACAUUCCUAAAAAAAUUUGAUUUUUUCCCAUAGGAAUGCAUGGGUUAGGGUUAUGGUUAGGGUUAGGGUUGGAGCUAGGGUUAGGGUUAGGGUUAGGGUUGGAGUUAGGGUUAGUGUUGGAGCUAGGGUUAGGGUUGGGCUUGGAGCUAAGGAUUUUUCUGAGUGCAAUGAACCAACUCCCGAGUCUCUUGGACGUUCCUAAAAAAAUUUGAUUUUUUUCCAUAGGAAUGCAUGGGUUAGGGUUAGGGUUAGGGUUGGAGCUAGGGUUAGGGUUAGGGUUAGGGUUGGAGUUAGGGUUAGUGUUGGAGCUAGGGUUAGGGUUGGGCUUGGAGCUAGGAUUUUUCUGAGUGCACUGAACCAACUCCCGAGUCUCUAGGACAUUCCUAAAAAAAUUUGAUUUUUUCCCAUAGGAAUGCAUGGGUUAGGGUUAGGGUUAGGGUUGGAGCUAGGGUUAGGGUUAGGGUUAGGGUUGGAGUUAGGGUUAGUGUUGGAGCUAGGGUUAGGGUUGGGCUUGGAGCUAGGAUUUUUCUGAGUGCACUGAACCAACUCUCGAGUCUCUAGGACAUUCCUAAAAAAAUUUGAUUUUUUCCCAUAGGAAUGCAUGGGUUAGGGUUAUGGUUAGGGUUAGGGUUGGAGCUAGGGUUAGGGUUAGGGUUAGGGUUGGAGUUAGGGUUAGUGUUGGAGCUAGGGUUAGGGUUGGGCUUGGAGCUAGGAUUUUUCUGAGUGCAAUGAACCAACUCCCGAGUC